UACGUAGGGUGCAGGCGUUAAUCGGAAUUACUGGGCGUAAAGCGUGCGCAGGCGGUUUCUUAAGUCAGAUGUGAAAGCCCCGGGCUUAACCUGGGAACUGCGUUUGAAACUGGGAGACUUGAGUGUGGCAGAGGGGGGUGGAAUUCCACGUGUAGCAGUGAAAUGCGUAGAUAUGUGGAGGAACACCGAUGGCGAAGGCAGCCCCCUGGACCUGUACUGACGCUCAUGCACGAAAGCGUGGGGAGCAAACAGG
This 253-nucleotide ribosomal RNA is filed under the name uncultured bacterium. Its description in RNAcentral is "partial 16S ribosomal RNA". It matches the Rfam family "Bacterial small subunit ribosomal RNA", at positions 524 to 776 of the family's 1533-position model. The record is from RNAcentral.